CAAAAAUGUGACAUUCAGCAACAUCAUUAUUCCCUGACACAGGAAAUCAUUAGGCAAAAUCAAUAUUUUGGGCAAAACCUAAUAAAACUAGGUAUGUUCUGCCAGUAAAGUGCAAUUCAUUUUUAUUUACAGUGGUAUUACACACCAUUUGAAGAGUUUAAAGAAGCAACUGUUGAUAUUUCCCCAUACGGGACCAAAGAAAUGACGAAGAAAAAGCUUGAAACUGUAAUCUUGGGUAUGAGAUGAAAUGUUUUGAAUGCUCUUGAAGCUGCAUUCUCUUUAGAAAAUGUUUCAAAGGUGGUGAAAGAUGUUGCUCACUACCAACUGAGAUGAGAGAAUCUACCAUUUUGAUAGAAAUACCUUGGGCAAGACUGCUUGCAGAAAAUCACCAAGAAGACAUAGAAGCCAAUUUUGUCCAUCAGCCUAUCCUUCCUCAUUUCAGCUUCACAAGUCAGAAAGUGAUGAUUGGAAGAUCAGGAACCAGUGCAGCCUAAUGCAGCC
Molecule: long non-coding RNA, 501 nt
Filed under: Zonotrichia albicollis (white-throated sparrow)
Lineage: Eukaryota; Metazoa; Chordata; Aves; Passeriformes; Passerellidae
Description: lncRNA (ENSZALG00000010847.1)
Source: RNAcentral